Molecule: ribosomal RNA, 375 nt
Filed under: uncultured organism
Description: partial 16S ribosomal RNA
Rfam family: Bacterial small subunit ribosomal RNA
Source: RNAcentral
GUAGGUGGCAAGCGUUGUCCGGAAUUAUUGGGCGUAAAGCGCGCGCAGGUGGUUCUUUAAGUCUGAUGUGAAAGCCCCCGGGCUCAACCGGGGGAGGGUCAUUGGAAACUGGGGAACUUGAGUGCAGGAGAGGAAAGUGGAAUUCCACGUGUAGCGGUGAAAUGCGUAGAUAUGUGGAGGAACACCAGUGGCGAAGGCGACUUUCUGGCCUGUAACUGACACUGAGGCGCGAAAGCGUGGGGAGCAAACAGGAUUAGAUACCCUGGUAGUCCACGCCGUAAACGAUGAGUGCUAAGUGUUGGGGGGUUUCCGCCCCUCAGUGCUGCAGCUAACGCAUUAAGCACUCCGCCUGGGGAGUACGGUCGCAAAGACUGA